Molecule: non-coding RNA, 116 nt
Filed under: Rhodococcoides fascians
Lineage: Bacteria; Bacillati; Actinomycetota; Actinomycetes; Mycobacteriales; Nocardiaceae
Also listed under: 1 other name
Description: Rhodococcus fascians SAM-IV sequence
Rfam family: SAM (S-adenosyl methionine) riboswitch aptamer
About the family: SAM-IV is a mRNA element that regulates gene expression via direct sensing of S-adenosylmethionine (SAM or AdoMet). SAM-IV riboswitches share conserved nucleotide positions with the previously described SAM-I riboswitches sequence analysis and molecular recognition experiments suggest that SAM-I and SAM-IV riboswitches share similar ligand binding sites, but have different scaffolds.
Source: RNAcentral
GGUCAUGAGUACCAGCAUCGAGCCCCGGCUUGCUGGUCGGCAACCCUCCUCCGCGGUGGGGUGCUCCGGGUGACGACCUGGCUGACGCCGGAAUACCGGCGCGGCAAGCGCGGACU